GCGGGAGGGAGAGACAGAGAAAGAGAGCCAGGGACAACAAUGUCACAUUAGAAAGUGAACAAACUAUGGAUUUUGUCAGCCUCCAUCCUUUCCAGCUGUCGGCCUUACCAUCCCAAACAACAUGUUUUUGAGUGACAGAGGAGAGGUUUUAUCAGGAGUCCCAGACUCCCCUGUGCACGGUAGUGGUCAACGUUGGCGCAGGAGAAGAGGAGAUUACUUGAAAGGAAACAAUAGCAUACACAGUGAAUUUUGCUGGCCCAGUCCACUCAGUCGAACCACUGGAUCGUGUCCAUCCAUCUGACCACCCUCGGGCCUCCAAACCUCCAAAAACUCCUCUCCUCAAUAUCCCGGACGAGCCCCCAAAACUGUCCCGAUUUCCAAAUAUUGAGGAUAAGAACAAACCAACACUG
Oreochromis aureus is the source of this 410-nucleotide long non-coding RNA. RefSeq lists it as uncharacterized. The transcript is spliced from 3 exons. The record is from RefSeq and is a predicted model, not a curated record. NCBI's taxonomy places the organism in Eukaryota, Metazoa, Chordata, Actinopteri, Cichliformes, Cichlidae.